This 1252-nucleotide long non-coding RNA is filed under the name Cicer arietinum (chickpea). Its description in RNAcentral is "long non-coding RNA (CARI_LNC003762)". The record is from RNAcentral. Lineage: Eukaryota; Viridiplantae; Streptophyta; Magnoliopsida; Fabales; Fabaceae.
GGUUUUUGGAUUCACUCUAAUUGAGAAGAAAAAGAGCAUUGUGGUUUCAGUUGUAGCUGAAAUUGAUGGUAAAAGGUGAAAUAUUUUCAGGGGAAGUGAAACCCUAGAAAUCGAAUGGGAAAGGAAUCUCUGAGAGGGUUUUUUGUACGAUUGAACGGAAGAUUUGUGUUUUGUUUUUUCAGUGGAGAUUGGGUUUUCUGGUUGUAUGAAGGUUUGUUGUUCGUUUUUUUGAGCGUUUUGUUGAAUGAAGUUUUGUUUCUGUGUAGUGGUUACACAGAAAAAUGAGAAUUGAAGAGGGGUUUUUGGUGUAGUAUUUAUAUGAUUUAUUUAUGAACAAGCGCAAGUGUGUAGCGUGAUUCCACGCGAUGGAUGCUUUGUAUAUUUCAUUGAAAAAUAGUUUGAACUUUUAAAAAUUAAAAUUCAUAAGUUUUAAGAAAAAAAUAUUUACGUUUGAGUUUGAGUUAAUAAUAUGUAAUUUAGAAUAUAAAUAUGUUUUACUACAUUCUUACCCUUCGAUCUCGACCUCAAACUCCAAUUCCCACCACUAGAACCCCCAAUUUCUCUCUCUAAAUUCUUAUCACCUUCCACACUCUUCCCUACUACAUCCUCCCCUAACUUCUGCCGUUUCCUCUUGGGAGAAGGCGACACAUCAAGUAAAACCGGGGCACGCCGAACCCUCGAGCUUCGGCGAACCCCUGGUUCAGGGUUCAAACCAUCACCCUCAUUUAACUCACCAUGGUUUCUAUUAUACUCUUCCUCGCAUAUUGCAUCUAACUUCUUUUGUUUCUUCCGAACCCGCGAACCCGAUCCACCGUUGCCCUUUCCUUCCGGUGACAAUCGCAUGACAACAAAGCAAUACAAAUAUAUAUAAAAAUAAAAUAAAAUAUCACUAAGCAGUGCCAAAAAAAUAAAGGUGAAAAAAGGAAAACUUUUUUCGCUAUGUAGAAAACUAGAAAAUGGGUAUUUUCUGAUUGUCUUCUAUGUCUAAUUGGGUUUUUGGAUUCACUCUAAUUGAGAAGAAAAAGAGCAUUGUGGUUUCAGUUGUAGCUGAAAUUGAUGGUAAAAGGUGAAAUAUUUUCAGGGGAAGUGAAACCCUAGAAAUCGAAUGGGAAAGGAAUCUCUGAGAGGGUUUUUUGUACGAUUGAACGGAAGAUUUGUGUUUUGUUUUUUCAGUGGAGAUUGGGUUUUCUGGUUGUAUGAAGGUUUGUUGUUCGUUUUUUUGAGCGUUUUGUUGAAUGAAGUUUUGUUUCUG